AUUGCUUCUUGGCCUUUUGUCUAAGAUCAAGUGUAGUAUCUGGUCUUACCAGUUCAAUAUCUGAUAUGUCCUCUUUCUGAGAACAAUAUAUUAAAUGGAUUUGGACACAGGGACAUGGANNNNNN
This 125-nucleotide small nuclear RNA is filed under the name Erinaceus europaeus (western European hedgehog). RNAcentral describes it as "U2 spliceosomal RNA (ENSEEUG00000023165.1)". It matches the Rfam family "U2 spliceosomal RNA". Rfam says of the family: U2 is a small nuclear RNA (snRNA) component of the spliceosome (involved in pre-mRNA splicing). Complementary binding between U2 snRNA (in an area lying towards the 5' end but 3' to hairpin I) and the branchpoint sequence (BPS) of the intron results the bulging out of an unpaired adenosine, on the BPS, which initiates a nucleophilic attack at the intronic 5' splice site, thus starting the first of two transesterification reactions that mediate splicing. Lineage: Eukaryota; Metazoa; Chordata; Mammalia; Eulipotyphla; Erinaceidae. The record is from RNAcentral.